This 1345-nucleotide ribosomal RNA is filed under the name uncultured bacterium. Its description in RNAcentral is "partial 16S ribosomal RNA". It matches the Rfam family "Bacterial small subunit ribosomal RNA", at positions 28 to 1381 of the family's 1533-position model. The record is from RNAcentral.
GACGAACGCUGGCGUCGUGCUUACACAUGCAAGUCGAACGGAAAGGCCCUGCUUUUGUGGGGUGCUCGAGUGGCGAACGGGUGAGUAACACGUGAGUAACCUGCCCUUGACUUUGGGAUAACUUCAGGAAACUGGGGCUAAUACCGGAUAGGAGCUCCUGCUGCAUGGUGGGGGUUGGAAAGUUUCGGCGGUUGGGGAUGGACUCGCGGCUUAUCAGCUUGUUGGUGGGGUAGUGGCUUACCAAGGCUUUGACGGGUAGCCGGCCUGAGAGGGUGACCGGCCACAUUGGGACUGAGAUACGGCCCAGACUCCUACGGGAGGCAGCAGUGGGGAAUAUUGCACAAUGGGCGGAAGCCUGAUGCAGCAACGCCGCGUGCGGGAUGACGGCCUUCGGGUUGUAAACCGCUUUCGCCUGUGACGAAGCGUGAGUGACGGUAAUGGGUAAAGAAGCACCGGCUAACUACGUGCCAGCAGCCGCGGUGAUACGUAGGGUGCGAGCGUUGUCCGGAUUUAUUGGGCGUAAAGGGCUCGUAGGUGGUUGAUCGCGUCGGAAGUGUAAUCUUGGGGCUUAACCCUGAGCGUGCUUUCGAUACGGGUUGACUUGAGGAAGGUAGGGGAGAAUGGAAUUCCUGGUGGAGCGGUGGAAUGCGCAGAUAUCAGGAGGAACACCAGUGGCGAAGGCGGUUCUCUGGGCCUUUCCUGACGCUGAGGAGCGAAAGCGUGGGGAGCGAACAGGCUUAGAUACCCUGGUAGUCCACGCUGUAAACGGUGGGUACUAGGUGUGGGGUCCAUUCCACGGGUUCCGUGCCGUAGCUAACGCUUUAAGUACCCCGCCUGGGGAGUACGGCCGCAAGGCUAAAGCUCAAAGGAAUUGACGGGGCCCCGCACAAGCGGCGGAGCAUGCGGAUUAGUUCGAUGCAACGCGUAGAACCUUACCUGGGUUUGACAUGGAUCGGGAGUGCUCAGAGAUGGGUGUGCCUCUUUUGGGGUCGGUUCACAGGUGGUGCAUGCCUGUCGUCAGCUCGUGUCGUGAGAUGUUGGGUUAAGUCCCGCAACGAGCGCAACCCUUGUUCACUGUUGCCAGCACGUUAUGGUGGGGACUCAGUGGAGACCGCCGGGGUCAACUCGGAGGAAGGUGGGGAUGACGUCAAGUCAUCAUGCCCCUUAUGUCCAGGGCUUCACGCAUGCUACAAUGGCUGGUACAGAGAGUGGCGAGCCUGUGAGGGUGAGCGAAUCUCGGAAAGCCGGUCUCAGUUCGGAUUGGGGUCUGCAACUCGACCUCAAGAAGUCGGAGUCGCUAGUAAUCGCAGAUCAGCAACGCUGCGGUGAAUACGUUCCCGGGGCU